AUUGAACGCUGGCGGCAUGCUUUACACAUGCAAGUCGAACGGCAGCGCGGGCUUCGGCCUGGCGGCGAGUGGCGAACGGGUGAGUAAUACAUCGGAACGUGCCCAGUAGUGGGGGAUAGCUCGGCGAAAGCCGGAUUAAUACCGCAUACGACCUGAGGGUGAAAGCGGGGGAUCUUCGGACCUCGCGCUAUUGGAGCGGCCGAUGGCAGAUUAGCUAGUUGGUGGGGUAAAGGCCUACCAAGGCGACGAACUGUAGCUGGUCUGAGAGGACGACCAGCCACACUGGGACUGAGACACGGCCCAGACUCCUACGGGAGGCAGCAGUGGGGAAUUUUGGACAAUGGGCGAAAGCCUGAUCCAGCAAUGCCGCGUGUGUGAUGAAGGCCUUCGGGUUGUAAAGCACUUUUGGCGGGAACGAAAAGGACUGUGCCAAUACCACGGUUCGAUGACGGUACCCGCAGAAUAAGCACCGGCUAACUACGUG
Molecule: ribosomal RNA, 484 nt
Filed under: uncultured bacterium
Lineage: Bacteria
Description: partial 16S ribosomal RNA
Rfam family: Bacterial small subunit ribosomal RNA
Source: RNAcentral